UGGGGAAUCUUGGACAAUGGGCGCAAGCCUGAUCCAGCCAUGCCGCGUGGAUGAUGAAGGCCCUAGGGUUGUAAAAUCCUUUCGUUGGGGACGAUAAUGACGGUACCCAAAGAAGAAGCUCCGGCUAACUUCGUGCCAGCAGCCGCGGUAAUACGAAGGGGGCUAGCGUUGUUCGGAUUUACUGGGCGUAAAGCGCGUGUAGGCGGGUCGUUAAGUUGGGGGUGAAAUCCCGAGGCUCAACCUCGGAACUGCCUUCAAAACUGGCGACCUGGACUCAAGUAGAGGCAAGUGGAAUUGCGAGUGUAGAGGUGAAAUUCGUAGAUAUUCGCAGGAACACCAGUGGCGAAGGCGACUUGCUGGACUUGUAGUGACGCUGAGACGCGAAAGCGUGGGGAGCAAACAGGAUUAGAUACCCCCGUAGUCCCUGAGCGGGCUGGCAAGGCGCAU
RNAcentral lists this ribosomal RNA (447 nucleotides) under uncultured bacterium. RNAcentral describes it as "bacterial SSU rRNA". It matches the Rfam family "Bacterial small subunit ribosomal RNA", at positions 355 to 825 of the family's 1533-position model. The record is from RNAcentral.